RNAcentral lists this ribosomal RNA (388 nucleotides) under uncultured bacterium. RNAcentral describes it as "bacterial SSU rRNA". It matches the Rfam family "Bacterial small subunit ribosomal RNA", at positions 30 to 417 of the family's 1533-position model. The record is from RNAcentral.
AUUGAACGCUGGCGGCAUGCCUUACACAUGCAAGUCGAACGGCAGCACGGACUUCGGUCUGGUGGCGAGUGGCGGACGGGUGAGUAAUGCAUCGGAACGUGUCCUAAAGUGGGGGGAUAACGCAUCGAAAGAUGUGCUAAUACCGCAUAUUCUCUGAGGAGGAAAGUAGGGGAUCGAAAGACCUUAUGCUUUUGGAGCGGCCGAUGUCUGAUUAGCUAGUUGGUAGGGUAAUGGCUUACCAAGGCGACGAUCAGUAGUUGGUCUGAGAGGACGACCAGCCACACUGGGACUGAGACACGGCCCAGACUCCUACGGGAGGCAGCAGUGGGGAAUUUUGGACAAUGGGCGCAAGCCUGAUCCAGCCAUGCCGCGUGAGUGAAGAAGGCCU